GGGGAAUAUUGCACAAUGGGCGCAAGCCUGAUGCAGCGACGCCGCGUGAGGGAUGACGGCCUUCGGGUUGUAAACCUCUUUCAGCAGGGAAGAAGCGCAAGUGACGGUACCUGCAGAAGAAGCGCCGGCUAACUACGUGCCAGCAGCCGCGGUAAUACGUAGGGCGCAAGCGUUGUCCGGAAUUAUUGGGCGUAAAGAGCUCGUAGGCGGUUUGUCGCGUCUGCUGUGAAAACGCGAGGCUCAACCUCGCGCCUGCAGUGGGUACGGGCAGGCUAAAGUGCGGUAGGGGAGACUGGAAUUCCUGCUGUAGCGGUGGAAUGCGCAGAUAUCAGGAGGAACACCGGUGGCGAAGGCGGGUCUCUGGGCCGUAACUGACGCUGAGGAGCGAAAGCAUGGGGAGCGAACA
Molecule: ribosomal RNA, 406 nt
Filed under: uncultured bacterium
Lineage: Bacteria
Description: bacterial SSU rRNA
Rfam family: Bacterial small subunit ribosomal RNA
Source: RNAcentral